RNAcentral lists this ribosomal RNA (949 nucleotides) under Ramaria sp. RNAcentral describes it as "LSU rRNA". It matches the Rfam family "Eukaryotic large subunit ribosomal RNA", at positions 36 to 961 of the family's 3401-position model. Lineage: Eukaryota; Fungi; Basidiomycota; Agaricomycetes; Gomphales; Gomphaceae. The record is from RNAcentral.
AAGCAUAUCAAUAAGCGGAGGAAAAGAAACUAACAAGGAUUCCCCUAGUAACUGCGAGUGAAGCGGGAAGAGCUCAAAUUUGUAAUCUGGCGGUCUCAGAUCGUCCGAGUUGUAGUCUAGAGAAGCGUUUUCUGUGCAGGACCGUGUACAAGUCCCUUGGAACGGGGCGUCAUAGAGGGUGAGAAUCCCGUCUCUGACACGGACUACCUGUGCUCUGUGAUGCGCUCUCGAAGAGUCGAGUUGUUUGGGAAUGCAGCUCAAAAUGGGUGGUAAAUUCCAUCUAAAGCUAAAUAUUGGCGAAAGACCGAUAGCGAACAAGUACCGUGAGGGAAAGAUGAAAAGCACUUUGGAAAGAGAGUUAAACAGUACGUGAAAUUGUUGAAAGGGAAACGAUUGGAGUCAGUCGCGUCUCCUGAGACUCAGCCUACCAGUAUGGUAGGUGUACUUCUCGGGUUUGAUGGGCCAGCAUCGUUUUCGACUGUUAGAAAAGGGCAAAGGGAAUGUGGCACCCUUUGGGUGUGUUAUAGCCCUUUGUCGUAUCUAACCGUCGGGAUCGAGGAUCGCAGCACGCCUUUAAUGGCCGGGGUUCGCCCACGUAACGUGCUUAGGAUGCUGGCGUAAUGGCUUUAAACGACCCGUCUUGAAACACGGACCAAGGAGUCUAACAUGCCUGCGAGUGUUUGGGUGGAAAACCCCGGACGCGUAAUGAAAGUGAAUAUGUUGGGAAUCUUCAUCCAGGAGUGCACCGACGCCCGGACCAGACCUUCUGUGACGGUUCCGAGGUAGAGCAUGUAUGUUGGGACCCGAAAGAUGGUGAACUAUGCCUGAGUAGGGUGAAGCCAGAGGAAACUCUGGUGGAGGCUCGUAGCGAUUCUGACGUGCAAAUCGAUCGUCGAACUUGGGUAUAGGGGCGAAAGACUAAUCGAACCAUCUAGUAGCUGGUUCCUGC